GACGAACGCUGGCGGCGUGCUUAACACAUGCAAGUCGAGCGGAAAGGCCCUUCGGGGUACUCGAGCGGCGAACGGGUGAGUAACACGUGAGUAACCUGCCCCAGACUUUGGGAUAACCCUCGGAAACGGGGGCUAAUACCGGAUACGACACAGCUUCGCAUGGGGUCUGUGUGGAAAGUUUUUCGGUUUGGGAUGGGCUCGCGGCCUAUCAGCUUGUUGGUGGGGUGAUGGCCUACCAAGGCGACGACGGGUAGCCGGCCUGAGAGGGCGACCGGCCACACUGGGACUGGGACACGGCCCAGACGCCUACGGGAGGCAGCAGUGGGGAAUAUUGCACAAUGGGCGGAAGCCUGAUGCAGCGACGCCGCGUGAGGGAUGACGGCCUUCGGGUUGUAAACCUCUUUCAGCAGGGACGAAGCGUAAGUGACGGUACCUGCAGAAGAAGCGCCGGCCAACUACGU
RNAcentral lists this ribosomal RNA (461 nucleotides) under uncultured bacterium. Its description in RNAcentral is "partial 16S ribosomal RNA". It matches the Rfam family "Bacterial small subunit ribosomal RNA", at positions 28 to 506 of the family's 1533-position model. The record is from RNAcentral.